GAUGAACGCUGGCGGCGUGCUUAACACAUGCAAGUCGAACGAAGCACUUAACUUGAUUUCUUCGGAUUGAUUGUUCUGUGACUGAGUGGCGGACGGGUGAGUAACGCGUGGGUAACCUGCCUCAUACAGGGGGAUAACAGUUAGAAAUGACUGCUAAUACCGCAUAUGCCUUAACUAUCGCAUGAUAGAAGAGGGAAAGGAGAAAUCCGCUAACAGAUGGGCUUGCGUCUGAUUAGAUAGUUGGUGGGGUAACGGCCUACCAAGUCGACGAUCAGUAGCCGGACUGAGAGGUUGAACGGCCACAUUGGGACUGAGAUACGGCCCAG
RNAcentral lists this ribosomal RNA (326 nucleotides) under uncultured bacterium. Its description in RNAcentral is "bacterial SSU rRNA". It matches the Rfam family "Bacterial small subunit ribosomal RNA", at positions 28 to 334 of the family's 1533-position model. The record is from RNAcentral.